UUUCAGAAAUAAUAUGAAUUUCCUAAUGGGCUCUUGGUGGCCUAAUCUGGAAGACUUAUAUGAAGCCAAUGUCCCUGUUUAUAGGUUUAUACAAAGACCUGGGGAUUUGGUAUGGAUAAAUGCUGGCACUGUUCAUUGGGUUCAGGCUAUUGGCUGGUGCAACAAUAUUGCUUGGAAUGUUGGCCCGCUUACAGCCUGUCAAUAUAAAUUGGCAGUGGAACGGUACGAGUGGAAUAAACUGCAGAGUGUAAAGUCAAUAGUACCCAUGGUUCAUCUUUCAUGGAACAUGGCACGAAAUAUCAAGGUCUCAGAUCCAAAGCUUUUUGAAAUGAUCAAGUAUUGCCUGUUAAGAACACUCAAGCAGUGUCAGACUUUAAGGGAAGCUCUAAUUGCUGCAGGAAAAGAGAUUGUCUGGCAUGGGCGAGCAAAGGAUGAGCCAGCUCAUUACUGUAGCAUUUGUGAGGUAGAAGUCUUUGAUCUGCUUUUUGUCACAAGUGAAAGCAAUUCUCGGAAGACCUACAUUGUACAUUGCCAAGACUGUGCACGAAAGAUAAGCGCAAACCUGGAAAACUUUGUGGUGCUAGAACAGUACAAAAUGGAGGACUUGAUGCAUGUCUAUGACCAAUUUACAUUAGGAAAGAAAAUUGAUGGGAUAGAAAUCUGUGGAAAAAGUACAAUAAUUUACCAGAACAUACCAUUGAGUUUGCAGGGACUGUUGCAAUUCAUAAAGACGUGGCUUUAAAAAUCCAUGCGAGACCAUCUGAAAAUCAUAAUGGUUAAAUGGAGAGUGAGGAGGAAUGAGAACAAUAAAAGUUGGAGACACUAGCACCAAUUUCAAGAGCAACUCUAAUACAUUGGUCUGGUAGGAAGUCAGUACAGCUGCAAGAUGUUCUGUAUACUAAAAACCUUAAAUCAGCCUUGUUUUCCUACUGAGCAAGUGGAUGUUCUCAAAUAUUUUUUUCUUUGAUGUGGGGUCUCCUUUGCAUUUCUAAUACAAAGCAGAAAAGACCAGGUCCAUCACCAUUUCUGUCUGCAGACUUGUGCUGCUCCACCAUUGCCAUCCUCCUCAUCUUGACAUUUUUCCAUGGACAUUAAAUGAAUAUUUUUCUGAUAUUCAGGAAGUGACCCAGUUCUGCACCACUGAUUUUUGUAGCUAUCCCGUAAGGCUGCUGGCUGAAAGCUGUGUCUAUGCAACCUUCCAAGUGCGGAGUGUCAACCAACUGGACAGGAGAGAGCACUGCCUCCUACUCCAGAACUCAAAACAAAUAAAGCUCAUCCAGCUGUACUUCAAAAAAAAAAAUAAUUCCAUGUUUUGUAUAUAUCUGACAAAACUGGCAACAUUAUACAGACUACUGACUUGAAGACCACCUCUUUUGUAUUUCUCCGUUUCUGGGCUGAUGAGUUGGUUUCAUCCAUUUUUCCCCUUCAGAAUUUCCCUUGGAAUAAGUACUAGCCUAGCUGGUCAUUUCUUUGUAAGGUAGUUAGAAAUUUUAAGUCUUUCUUUGGGCAACAUUUUUUUUUUUUAAUGUGAAAAGUUAGGUGAUAAAUUUUUUACUGUUUUUAUGUUUUUCUGUCUUGUUUUGAAACCAUAACGGUUACACUUUUGGUUCCUAAAUAAAAUUUAAAAAAAUUAACAGCCAAGUCACAAAGAUAAAUGGGUUGCACAUAGACUAAGGAAUAAACUUCAGAUUUGUGAUUUUUGUUUCUAAUCUUGAUGUAAAUUUACACUAUUUAUAAAUACAUAUUUAUUGCUUGAAAAUAUUUGUGAAUGGAAUGCUGUUAUUUUUUCCAGAUUACCUGCCAUUGAAAUUUUAAGGAGUUCUGUAAUUUCAAACACUACUCCUAUUACAUUUUCUAUAUGUAAAUAAAACUGCUUAGCAUUGUACAGAAACUUUUAUUAAAAUUGUUUAAUGUUUAAA
This is an RNA transcript of Alligator sinensis (Chinese alligator), 1919 nucleotides long. It is a transcript of the gene named lysine-specific demethylase 6A-like, with no coding region annotated. The record is from RefSeq and is a predicted model, not a curated record. The transcript is spliced from 6 exons. NCBI's taxonomy places the organism in Eukaryota, Metazoa, Chordata, Crocodylia, Alligatoridae.